UACGUAGGGGGCAAGCGUUGUCCGGAAUCAUUGGGCGUAAAGAGCGCGUAGGCGGUCCGGUAAGUCCGCUCUGAAAGCCCGGGGCUCAACCCCGGGAGGCGGGCGGAUACUGUCGGGCUAGAGUCCGGAAGAGGCGAGUGGAAUUCCUGGUGUAGCGGUGAAAUGCGCAGAUAUCAGGAGGAACACCGAUGGCGAAGGCAGCUCGCUGGGACGGUACUGACGCUAAGGCGCGAAAGCGUGGGGAGCAAACAGG
Molecule: ribosomal RNA, 253 nt
Filed under: uncultured bacterium
Lineage: Bacteria
Description: partial 16S ribosomal RNA
Rfam family: Bacterial small subunit ribosomal RNA
Source: RNAcentral